RNAcentral lists this ribosomal RNA (495 nucleotides) under uncultured bacterium. RNAcentral describes it as "partial 16S ribosomal RNA". It matches the Rfam family "Bacterial small subunit ribosomal RNA", at positions 30 to 507 of the family's 1533-position model. The record is from RNAcentral.
UGAACGCUGGCGGCGUGCCUACUACAUGCACGUCGAGCGAACAGAUGAGGAGCUUGCUCCUCUGACGUUAGCGGCGGACGGGUGAGUAACACGUGGAUAACCUACCUAUAAGACUGGGAUAACUUCGGGAAACCGGAGCUAAUACCGGAUAAUAUAUUGAACCGCAUGGUUCAAUAGUGAAAGACGGUUUUGCUGUCACUUAUAGAUGGAUCCGCGCCGCAUUAGCUAGUUGGUAAGGUAACGGCUUACCAAGGCAACGAUGCGUAGCCGACCUGAGAGGGUGAUCGGCCACACUGGAACUGAGACACGGUCCAGACUCCUACGGGAGGCAGCAGUAGGGAAUCUUCCGCAAUGGGCGAAAGCUUGACGGAGCAACGCCGCGUGAGUGAUGAAGGUCUUCGGAUCGUAAAACUCUGUUAUUAGGGAAGAACAAAUGUGUAAGUAACUAUGCACGUCUUGACGGUACCUAAUCAGAAAGCCACGGCUAACUACGUG